ACGUAGGGUGCGAGCGUUAAUCGGAAUUACUGGGCGUAAAGCGUGCGCAGGCGGUUUUGUAAGCCAGAUGUGAAAUCCCCGGGCUUAACCUGGGAAUGGCAUUUGGGACUGCAAGGCCGGAGUCUGGCAGGGGAGACUGGAAUUCCUGGUGUAGCGGUGGAAUGCGCAGAUAUCAGGAGGAACACCGGUGGCGAAGGCGGGUCUCUGGGCAGUAACUGACGCUGAGGAGCGAAAGCGUGGGGAGCGAACAGGA
This 253-nucleotide ribosomal RNA is filed under the name uncultured prokaryote. Its description in RNAcentral is "partial 16S ribosomal RNA". It matches the Rfam family "Bacterial small subunit ribosomal RNA", at positions 525 to 777 of the family's 1533-position model. The record is from RNAcentral.